Long non-coding RNA from Anopheles arabiensis, 2248 nucleotides. RefSeq lists it as uncharacterized. Lineage: Eukaryota; Metazoa; Arthropoda; Insecta; Diptera; Culicidae. The transcript has 3 exons. The record is from RefSeq and is a predicted model, not a curated record.
ACUUUCUACCCUACAGUGUGUAGCUCCCCAUCGGUAUUCUUCCACUACAGCAAAAGACUGCCCGCAAACAAUUGAACAAGAAGUUUUUAACAUCGAAGUGAAAAAUAUAGCUACACAAUUCACACCAACAUCUUUCAGGAGCACCUUUAAGCUAAUCUGUGUGCCAGCAGACUUUUAGCGUGACAUUUUCGUAUCUCGGACACAUUUCCCACGACUGUGUAAGCUGACUACUAAUAGUAGUAGUAGUAUUAGCAGUAGUAGUGCAAAGUCGUAAGUAUUAAAAGAAAGUUUUCCGUUUUGCCUCAUUUUGCGACCAACGUUGUACGAAGGUUUUUGCCUGUAACCUUUGCCGAUCAGCAAAGCUAAAGCUGCUGCAUGAAACGAGUACUUAAUGUCAGUAGGUAAUCACAUGUUGCCUAUUCAAUGUCAAUUUUCAGCCCUGUCCCCUCGAGUCUUUCGACCGAGGCUUUUCCGGCGCCUAUCAAAUAUCAAUCAUACAAUCGUUACAUUGCUUCCCGUGCACGAAGCCCACGCACGCCCCAUUUCCACCUUCACAAGCACACUCUAUAUUUUACGCAUCGUGAAACACACGGCUAUGGCGCAAAAAUUAACCUUCCCAAUCAAUACCAGCCGAAGAAUUAAACGUAGCUUAAAGCAAAUGUUACCGCCAAUUUGGGCGUUUAGGCUGCUACGCACUGCUGCUAUCCCUGCUCGGCUCAAUGCUCUGUUUCCAUGGAAACUAACAACGCACCCACUUCAGUCACUCGUUACACUACUCUGGGCAAGAAUGGUUCCUCACAAUGGCAAUUAUGAAUCCGCAAUUAUGUGGCCAUAACGCUUCGUUUCCCUGGCCGACAUAUGGCGGCGCCCUGGUACACGGAACUGUGCUUUCAUGCAUUCGUUCGAGCUUCGGUGCAAUUGAUGCAAAAUAUUCGACUUUUCGCAGGUAAAUAAGGUCGCCCAUAGCUACGGACCGCUCCGGUUUUUUGUCUGUUUUUUACAGCACCAGUGAUCACUCGUCCGUCUCGCACACAUGGCCAUAGUCGGUAGCAAUUCUAAUUUUCCGAUUUGAAUGCCGAUCACAGCACCGACUGACCCGAUGUUUUUCAACAACCGACUGGACCGCUUGUGUGUGCGUUGGUUCUGUAUCGUAUUUAUUUACGAUUUCCACUUUUUGUUUCCAAUGACUUUGGUAAGUGGUGUUUCAGCAAACCACUUGGCUUCGUAUUCUGUACAAGGAACGCGAAGGAGACACGCCGCAUUAAUCCAUCUUCAAUGAUGGAUGAUCGGAAGGGAAGAAUUAAUUUCGCUCGCGAGACACCGACUGCGAACUGGACCAGUGACGCAUUAACGCCCUUGCACCCGCGGUAUGUGCUUGGGGGAUGGGAAUACUUCCUAGCUGUCAAGGCUUUCUAUUCGAUUCUUCCAGACAAAAGCAUUAUGCAUCAAGCCAUACAGCGCACAUACAUAUUUGAAUACUACCGGCAUAGUCAAAAUGAAAUCAUUUCUGGUACAGGUUGGCCAAUAAUGCCAGACAAACGGAAGGCACUGCAGGUGUGCCGAAAUUUGUGUUAGUCUAGCUAAGUCUAUAGCUCAGCUUACAUUAGAAAUUCCUUGCUAUUUUUAUUCAUGAUCAUCAUGAUAACCGCUUAAGUACUAGAAUUCUUCUAAGCGUAGCAAAAGAGGCAAACCGAAAGCAAAAUAUGUAAAUUAUAGGCAAUUUCAUAAGGCAUAUUGAAGGCACCACAAAAGAGAUAAUACAAAAAUCAUUUUAUUUUAAUUACUACUCAUAAUUACUACAAGAUAAGCUGAAAUAUGAUGUUUUCUGUCCAAAACGGUUGGUAAUGAAUGUUGUGACUUGUGUGAAAUUAUUGUUAAAAUUAAUUGUAAAGCUAUUUAAAUGUGAAAGUAACCUAUAUCUAUCAAUUUGGUUGGUUGUUUGCUUUGGGAUACCGCCAAAAUGACAUUCAUUCCAUGACGCUUAUUCCAUAACAUUCCAUUCCAUAACACCAGGCCACACCGGACAACACUUCUCCAAACGCCAGCCUGGCAGCUAUGGUUUAUUUGAUUGUAAAUCGAUCGAGUUAUUAAUUAUAGGGGUUAAUGUAAUAAUAACAAAAGAUUAUAUUGAAAUUACAAACAUUUUAAGUAAAUCUCAUUGAAAAAUAUAUUCCUUAUGAGCGUAACUCGCUAGAUUAACACAACCAUUGAACAUUGAAUGUAUAAUAUGCAUAAACACAUAAAACAA